AAUGAACGCUGGCGGCGUGCUUUACACAUGCAAGUCGAGCGAGGCGGCCCGCAAGGGCCAGUCGAGCGGCGAACGGGUGAGUAACACGUGGGUGACCUGCCCUCAGCUCUGGGAUAAGCCCGGGAAACUGGGUCUAAUACCGGAUAUGACUCCACGGUGCAUGUCGUGGGGUGGAAAGCCUUGUGCGGCUGAGGAUGGGCCCGCGGCCUAUCAGCUU
Molecule: ribosomal RNA, 217 nt
Filed under: uncultured bacterium
Lineage: Bacteria
Description: partial 16S ribosomal RNA
Rfam family: Bacterial small subunit ribosomal RNA
Source: RNAcentral